AUGGUCAGGGAAGAGAGAGGCACAAGAGAGCCUGUUUGCCUGGGAGUGCAUGUUUCAAAUGCUUAGCUGCCUAUAAAGCUGUAACAGUUUAGCCUCUGGCCACUGAGAGAAGAAUAUAAGCUAAUCUCUUUAGUGACCAUGUGGAAGUCCUGACCUUGCUUGCAGACUUGACCUCUGGAUAUGACAAGGUAGCUUCAAUAAAGAUCUACCACUUAAUCCUGGAAACUAAAAACAAACAAAAAAAAAAAACCUCAAAGCAAGAAAGAUGCAGAAUAUUUCCCAAGAAGUCAGAAGAACCCAAUUAUUCUGGUGGGCAGAAGAUAACAGGCUCGUGAAAAGAAGUGCUGAAUCAGCAGAGUGAAGGAACAAUCAAGAUGAGAUGGCUGCUGCUGGUGUGACUCUAGGUCUUUACCUCUCUUCCUGCUACAAAUGCUGCAUGACACUAUGUAACAGAGCACCACAAGGAUCUAGAAGAAACUACAAAAUAUGAAGAAAUUCACUCUGAAGACUAUAUGGAAACACUAGGCUGAUAUUAUCAAUUUCUGAAAAACACUUUGUGAAACUCCACUGAUUCUAUAAAUCUCUUACAAAAAGAAUCAAGCCAAGAUAAAGUUCAACAGAUAACUGUUCAACAUUUAGAAGUAUCCAUAUUCACCAAGAACAAGGAGUUAUAAAUGGCACUGAUGGACAUGCUUCAGGUAAUUUGUUAAAAUUUUAUAAUCUCUGCAAAUGAUCUACCAUUGCUCUACAUCAAUAAGCUGAAUGUUUUACUAACAAAUGGGUAAAUAAAACAGUUCAUGUUUUUACAGCUAACAACUUAGUAAUAACCUACUCAGAGUACAUACUUCUUUAUGUACCCAUAUGAACAUACAAUGCUAUGGAAUGUAAAGAAGUAUGUAUUUUUGGUAGGCAAUAAACCACCAAGAGGGAAAUAAACUGCAGCGAUAAGAAGCCUUUGCUUCUUUCUAUGAGAAUGACCCUCAUAUAGUAAAUUAACUUAGCACAAAAGAGAUGACCUUUAGCAAUACUAACACCAAAAAAAGCAUACUUACUACUUAGAGAUGGAAACUAAUGUGGCUAAAGUUCAUAUUUUGUUAAAAAAAAAAAAGGUUCAACAAAAGUAGAUUUGAAAU
Talpa occidentalis (Iberian mole) is the source of this 1133-nucleotide long non-coding RNA. RefSeq lists it as uncharacterized. The record is from RefSeq and is a predicted model, not a curated record. The transcript has 3 exons. NCBI's taxonomy places the organism in Eukaryota, Metazoa, Chordata, Mammalia, Eulipotyphla, Talpidae.